UACGUAGGUGGCAAGCGUUGUCCGGAUUUACUGGGCGUAAAGGACGCGUAGGCGGACAUUUAAGUCAGAUGUGAAAUACCCGAGCUUAACUUGGGUGCUGCAUUUGAAACUGGGUGUCUAGAGUGCAGGAGAGGUAAGUGGAAUUCCUAGUGUAGCGGUGAAAUGCGUAGAGAUUAGGAAGAACACCAGUGGCGAAGGCGACUUACUGGACUGUAACUGACGCUGAGGCAUGAAAGCGUGGGGAGCAAACAGG
RNAcentral lists this ribosomal RNA (253 nucleotides) under uncultured bacterium. RNAcentral describes it as "partial 16S ribosomal RNA". It matches the Rfam family "Bacterial small subunit ribosomal RNA", at positions 524 to 776 of the family's 1533-position model. The record is from RNAcentral.